Molecule: ribosomal RNA, 263 nt
Filed under: uncultured bacterium
Lineage: Bacteria
Description: partial 16S ribosomal RNA
Rfam family: Bacterial small subunit ribosomal RNA
Source: RNAcentral
GUCCACGCCGGUAAACGUUGGGCACUAGGUGUGGGGGAUUAUCAACGUCCUCCGUGCCGUAGCUAACGCAUUAAGUGCCCCGCCUGGGGAGUACGGCCGCAAGGCUAAAACUCAAAGGAAUUGACGGGGGCCCGCACAAGCGGCGGAGCAUGUUGCUUAAUUCGAUGCAACGCGAAGAACCUUACCUGGGUUUGACAUGUGGGGAAAAGCCGCAGAGAUGCGGUGUCCUUCGGGGUCCCACACAGGUGGUGCAUGGCUGUCGU